Molecule: long non-coding RNA, 1088 nt
Organism: Neofelis nebulosa (Clouded leopard)
Lineage: Eukaryota; Metazoa; Chordata; Mammalia; Carnivora; Felidae
Exons: 3
Source: RefSeq, a predicted model, not a curated record
UAUUAGCAAAGCCCAGGUAGCCCUGCAGCAUUCACAGUGUGGAAGCCGAGGUCUGGCAUGUUCCUUUCACCGUUUGGAGGAAAUUUUGGAGCUAAACGGUUGGACCUGCCCCCAUGAAAAGAGAGAGAACCACAACAAGGAAGGUGAAGAGGAGGGUACUCUGGGUUCCCAUGAGAUGGGAAUGUUUCCACUUCUUCUCUGUGUUAUCUGCGGAAGCCAGUAAGAUGCUCCAGAGAAUGUUUGUGGAAAGGACAGAUGAAUGGAAAAUCAGCUGAAGGAAAAUGGCGGAAAGGAACCAGUAAGAUACCAAUGCAGGAAUUGUCCUAAACAGCUGGUAGCAUCUCUCUACAAAGAACUUUCUUCCAUCACCUGGAAAUGAGCCGCCAUGCCUCCUGUAAGGUUAGAGUUCCUGUCCCUUUGUCUUCUCUCAGAAAAACCUUGUAAUAGUCACCUCCAAUAGUGGCAAAUGAAUUUCUUUCUUUCUUUUUUUUUUUCUGUUCUUCUUUUUGUUUGAGCAUCACAUGGACCAGGGGUUUUUAUUUAUUUACUGUUAAGGUCACUUUAUAGUCAUUAUUCCUUCUGACGCUGCAGUUGUCCUAAAUUUAGCCAUGUGAGCUCCUUCAUUCUGGCUUCUGAACCCUUUUGAAACAUCCCCAUUAGACUUUGAGCACUAUCUUGCCUUAGGGCAGACAGAUGUUCGCCUUACCAAGUACUUUCCAUGCUCCGGACCUGAAAUGGCUCAUUUCUCUAAGAAGUCUUGCUUCCCUUUAGGAGAAAAUAUUAUUUACAAAUCAAGGUCUGGGCUCUAUAGAGGUCCACCUAAUGGGGUUAUCAAUGGGGAAAAAUAUUUUAGAUGUCAUAGCCUGGCAACCACAGUGAUCAUACUUUAUCCUUUUAUGCACAACAGCAUCCCAUGCUGGCAAACACUUUAAAAUUGUUUUGAGUGAGGGGUGCCUGGGUGGCUCAGUCGGUUGAGUGUCUGACUUUGGCUCAGGUCAUGAUCUCACUGUGAAUUCGAGCCCCACAUCAGGCUCACUGCUGUCAGCAUGGAGUCCGCUUUGGACCCUCUGUCCCCCUCUCUCUCUGCC